Carassius gibelio (silver crucian carp) is the source of this 1194-nucleotide non-coding RNA. The record is from the annotation of a RefSeq genome assembly. NCBI's taxonomy places the organism in Eukaryota, Metazoa, Chordata, Actinopteri, Cypriniformes, Cyprinidae.
UUACAGCUUCAGAUGAAUACUUCACAACUACAGUAACUCACAACUUACACUAUUUCUGUGUUAGAUCAUGAUUUAUGUAAUAUUAUUUGAUACAAAAUACCAAAGAAGCUUUACCAAAAUUCACACAAUUAAGCAUGCAUUGUAUGUUAUUCUCAUGUCAGCUUGUUUGUUGGGUUAUCUUUGUUCUCACAUUAUAUUGUAUAAGAAGGCUCAUUAAAACUACAGAAACUCACAUGUAUGAACAAUAAUGGUAAUACGAUGUUGCCAAUUUGCUGCAAAAUAAAGAACGAAAAGGAUUAUCAAAAAACAAAGAACUGAAAUAAAUAAGGAUUUAAAUAGCCAUGAAUAUUCAGUUUAUCUUUCCUUAUGUGCUUCAGAUUUAAUGUCAGGACAGGAGGAGGAGUUUAGCACCGACACUAUUCAGCAUGCAGCUGGUUCCAGAGCCUCAGAAGUCAUCACUCCAAAAAGUGACAGAGAAUUGUCUCUUGAGGGUGACAAUGUGACCCUCUCCUGUAACUACAGCGGUUCUGCUCGUGCUGUUCACUGGUAUCGGCAAUAUGCAGGAUCACCACCACAGUUCCUCAUACUGGAAGAUUCAGGGGCAACAAUUCCAGCUAAUCCACCCGUUCCAGGAAUAACCAUCAGUCACAGAAAAACAGAACUCCAUGUGGAUCUGAGCAUCUCCUCUGCUAAAGUCACAGACUCCGCUCUGUAUUACUGUGCUCUGCAGCCCACAGUGACAGGAAACCCUAUAACACUGUACAAAAACAGUUUUUGUAUGCUUAUCAAGCCUUGAUAGAAAUUUACAAACCACAGCUGGACUCCAAAAUAAAUAAAUAAAUAAAAGUACUGAUAUUGGAAUUAUUAAUUACUAUCCAAUAUUGUGGCUUUAGUAGACAGUAACUCAGAAUGGAUCCUCCGUUCAUAGUUUUCACGUGAUAUCAUAUCCCAGGCUUAUCUGCUUAAAUCACUCUUUUAAUGUAUUAAGGCACUUUAAGUAUUUUUCAUAUUAAAAAUUGCAGAAUGUCCCGCUGGUUUUAUUGGUUGAAAUAUUGCAGCGAAAGCUUUAUAUGCAUUGCAAAUGGCCAAAACUUGCACUUUGUUCACAUACAGUAUCCCUGUUUUAUUGUUUUGAGAGGUGAUUUAAUAUUAGUUGAUUGGAAACAAAUAAAAAAUUGACAAGCAUGUGUUGCA